Long non-coding RNA from Sceloporus undulatus (fence lizard), 2633 nucleotides. RefSeq lists it as uncharacterized. Lineage: Eukaryota; Metazoa; Chordata; Lepidosauria; Squamata; Phrynosomatidae. The record is from RefSeq and is a predicted model, not a curated record. The transcript has 6 exons.
UACUCUGCUUGACCAAAUUCCUGCACGCAGCAUUCUUUAAUUGCACAUAUCUUUUAACAUACAGUUUUUUGCAUCAAACUCCAGUUGGAGUCUGAACAGUAUAAUAAAAAUAAGAGGAGAACCUGUUAAGCCCGAAAGCUGCCCAUCACUAAUAUACAGUCUUAGCCAUGUUCACUGCUCCCCCAGCCUGCAGAGGAAGAAAACUGGACUGAAUGAGAAAGAGAAAUUGUGGAUGAACAAAGAUUAAGUUGUAAAUUUAUGCUGACACCCCAGCUAUGUAACACUUUCCCAAUACGACUGUGGUUGUCUUCCACGCUUUUGCCAUUUGAGAAUCAAUACAGGUGUUUUGUUCUGCAGCAUGUUUGUACUGCUGGUUUUUUAAAAAUUGUGAUUUGCCAUUUUGGAGGUGUCAUUUAAGUAUGUUUAAUGGAGGCUGUUAGUUGUGCUAGAUUCCUGUAUGUAAGGGGGAAAUUCAAAAGACAUCAGAUAACUAAAUGGCAUAGGAAAUUCCACUCCGCAUGUACGGGUUUUUACAGUACAGAAAAUAUUUAAUUUGGGCCAUUAAAAAUACCGAUAUAAUUCUGCAAAGUUAUGCACUCCUAAAUUCCAUCAGUUAUCCAUUUGAAAAAUGUAUCAAUUACUUCCUACACAGGUGACACACACACUUUCUACGCUGAAGCUCCCAAACCAGUAUACAGUACUGUAUAGCACAAUAAAACCAACUAGAUAGUACAAUUAUUUUUGCAAACUAAACACUUCCAUAUUCUGUAAAAUUUAUUUAAGGGGUAGCCAAAACAGUUUGGAAAAAAUGUAAUAUUUAUAUAGAAAUCAGAAUUAUGGUGGAAAGUGUACUUUUGAUUGUUUCUCUGCAGCUAGUACCCGACAAUUCUAGCCACUCUUAACAUCAUCAUCAACAAACUUUUAGUUUAUAUUUAGGGUUGCCAUGUGUCCCUUAGUCGAAGAAAUUACCUUUAUUUGAAAGAUGGGAAGGGUUGUCCUCUAUUUGAGGGUUGGAAAGAUUUUCCUUUUUCAUAGACUGAUAAAUAUGCCCAAAAAGUCUAUACUUUUGGCUGUGGGCCUUCAUAAGAUGUCUGCAUCAUCUAAUUUUCUGAAUAUGAACAAUAUGUUAAUUUUACAAAGAAACUGUGAAAAGAAAUCAAUACUUUCAUUUAGUAUUUAGGAAGAAUACAAACUUGUUAAUAACUGCUUCUGGAUUGUCAACCUUGCAUAUCAUGAAUUUUGAUAGUCUCUCAUUGCUAUUUUGAAAACCUGGCAAAACUAGCUAAAUCCUGCUACCUAUUGGUAAUACCAAGUCCAGCAAAAAGUGAGCCUACACUAGCAGUUUUCCCUUGCUGAACAAGGCAGGAUUUACAUCAAUGAAAGUAUGUAGGGGUAGGCUGUGGAGUUGCUAGGGUAGGAUUUAAUAACAAAUGAUCUCUUUACUAUAUUUUUCAACAGUGGGCCCUCGGUAUCUGCCACAGUUUGGUUCCAGGAUCCCCCAUGGAUACCAAAUCCGUACAUACUUACAUCCCAUAAUAUGCAAUGGCAGAGUAAAAUGGCGUCCUUUAUAUAAAAAGGCAAAAACAAGGUUUGAUUUUUGGAUAUUUUUUUUUAAUUACGUUUAAGCCAUACAUGAUUGAAUCAUUAAAUGCAGAAUCCAUGGAUAUGGUGGGACAACUGGGACAGCAAGUUAGAAAACAAACCUUCCCCAACUGCCAGCAGUCUCCAAAUGUGUGGAAUCACAAAUCCCACAUCUACAACCAGGCUAUACUGAGGAUGGGGAGAGUCUCACACAGUGCUUGUUAGAUUAUAUUAUGUGAAGGACUGACUUUUUUUUUAAGUGUCACAAAAUGAUAUCCUAUUUGUGUCUAUUUACUUACAACUAUUCCUUUUUUUUCAUGGAAACUGACCAUGGACUGGCUGCUGAUGGCUUAUGGAUGGGAUACCAUGCACCAAGGCUUUGAGUAGCACUGGUCUAAGGCAUCUGGAGGCCAAAAGGUUGAGAAAGCUAAAGGAUACUUUAAAAAAAUUAAUGGACUUUUUGCUCUGAAAGUAAAACUGCAUGAUAGUAUUGAAGCAGAGAAGGGGACAGGACACUCAGAGGCGUCUGGACCCAGGACCCCAGGCAACUUUACCGCCACCAAGUUGUGCAGCUCUGAGAUGAAGGAGGAAGAAACUGGAAUAAAAGAAAUAAAAAAGGAAAGGAAAAUGAAGUAAAAGCAACCUCAGUCUGCUUGGGAAUAGCGAGGGGGAGAAGAGGAGAGUCACCUCCAUUCAUACCAUGCGACUGGCAGAAUAGUGGACCUACAGCAGAAGGGAACUAUCGCACCAGAGAGGCCUCUGGGCUCAAGGAAAGCCAGGAGAGGAUGGGGAGACCCCCAGGAACUAAAGGCAGAGCUGGUAGAAACAGCCUGAGAAGAGCUUGUUGUUGGCUAAGCUUCCGCAGCUGACACCUGGGAAGCUACAAGCAGGAAUUUCCUUCUGAUGCUGGGGAGCAGCAGAGGUGGUGACUACUUCAUGUUGGACUGCUAUCCAGGAACAGGUCCAACUGCUAGCAUAACUGGGCAUCGACAGGGGAAGUGCUGGUGCUCUUGGACAUCUCAGCGGCCUUCGAUACCAUUGACCACAGUAUC